UGAGGAAUAUUGGGCAAUGCCCGCAAGGGUGACCCAGCAACGCCGCGUGGAGGAUGAAUGUCGUAAGAUUGUAAACUCCUGUUAGAGGGGAAGAAUAGUACCGGUUGGACCGGUAUAUGACUGUACCCUCAGAGAAAGCCCCGGCUAACUACGUGCCAGCAGCCGCGGUAAUACGUAGGGGGCAAGCGUUGUCCGGAUUUACUGGGUGUAAAGGGCGCGCAGGCGGGAUAAAAAGUCAGUGGUGAAAUCCUACAGCUUAACUGUAGAACGGACUAUGAUACUUUUAUUCUUGAGUUCGGGAGAGAGAGACGGAAUUCCAGGUGUAGUGGUGAAAUACGUAGAUAUCUGGAAGAACACCAGUUGCGAAGGCGGUCUCUUGGUCCGACACUGACGCUGAGGCGCGAAAGCGUGGGGAGCAAGCA
Molecule: ribosomal RNA, 422 nt
Filed under: uncultured bacterium
Lineage: Bacteria
Description: bacterial SSU rRNA
Rfam family: Bacterial small subunit ribosomal RNA
Source: RNAcentral